Long non-coding RNA from Paramacrobiotus metropolitanus, 1140 nucleotides. RefSeq lists it as uncharacterized. The transcript is spliced from 4 exons. NCBI's taxonomy places the organism in Eukaryota, Metazoa, Tardigrada, Eutardigrada, Parachela, Macrobiotidae. The record is from RefSeq and is a predicted model, not a curated record.
CUUGAUUAUCACUAUGCUGAAGAUUGUAUUUUUUGUAGUUAUUAUUUUCGCAUCAGUGUAUUUUGCAAAAUCGGAUGAUGGCGAUAGGAAGGAAAUGAACGUGGAUCCCAUCCAGCUAAACUGUUCAUACGACACCAAAAACUCUUGGACCAAUACUUCCGGCAAUCCUGACAGAUAUUUUACUGCGCUUGUGGUUGUAGCAUCACUUCUUGUAUGCUCCAUGAUUAUCAAUGUCAUUUUGGGAAUACAAGUAGCCAAAAAAAGUACAGCAGUGUUAACAUGAAUAGCAGUUUAGAACUGCGAUCAGCAUUCAUUUGCAAUACGUCACACGGGGAAGCCGCGCGAAUCUGCACCCAGCAAUUCUGUGGACGAACCACGACGAGGCCCAGCUCUUCAGAGUUUUCUGUCAAAAAACAAUCCAGAAAGAGAAGAGGAAACAGCAUUUCACCGAUGAUAGCCUGUACCAGGCAUCGAAGCACCCGGGCCGGACGCCUCGCUUGGUCACCGAACUCGGAUCGAGAGAUGAUCGAUCGAUACGACAGGAAGCAGGCGCGAUACAAGCGAUGGAGAAUUUACUGAUGAGCGAAUACAAAAAACAAUCCAACAGUCACAAAAGAAACAUUACGUUAUAAAUUUAACAAGCAGCGGAAACCGGCGGCCGAAUUACAGAGAAUAUUUCAUCUAAAUUAGCCGAGGCUGGUGUCGUUCCCAGGAUGGAUGCCGCGUUUCCACGUUGGAUCUCGAUGUUGAACCUCUGGCGCAGAUAUUCCGUUGCACGUAAAAAAAAGCGAUGGAGUAUCCGCGUCAGCGUAUCCGCAUGAAAGUCUGACGCGGGAACGCGUCCUCUGUCAUGCAUGGGAACAGCACCAGCACCGGCUAAUUUACAUACAACAAUGUUCUUCGUGAUGAGGCCGCCUAUUUCCGUUGCUGGCUGAGACUGUGUAGUUAUUGGAAGCUGCGUAUUUUAUUGAUUACUUGUUGCUGUUUCCAGUGAUUUGUAUAAGUUGCAGGCAGAAGCACUUAAUAAUAAUUAUGAAUGCUCUUGAGUUAAGUUAGACACAAUCAGCGCUUCAGAAUGACUAAAUUUAUAUGUUAAAAGUCGACCAACAGGUUCCAACAGAACCGUAAAUAAAACAAGAA